This 253-nucleotide ribosomal RNA is filed under the name uncultured bacterium. Its description in RNAcentral is "partial 16S ribosomal RNA". It matches the Rfam family "Bacterial small subunit ribosomal RNA", at positions 524 to 776 of the family's 1533-position model. The record is from RNAcentral.
UACAGAGGUCCCAAGCGUUGUUCGGAUUCAUUGGGCGUAAAGGGUGCGUAGGUGGCGCGCUAAGUCGGGUGUGAAAUUUCGGAGCUUAACUCCGAAACUGCAUUCGAUACUGGUGUGCUUGAGGACUGGAGAGGAGACUGGAAUUCAUGGUGUAGCAGUGAAAUGCGUAGAGAUCAUGAGGAAGACCAGUGGCGAAGGCGGGUCUCUGGACAGUUCCUGACACUGAGGCACGAAGGCCAGGGGAGCAAACAGG